This is a long non-coding RNA of Astyanax mexicanus (Mexican tetra), 2548 nucleotides long. RefSeq lists it as uncharacterized. The transcript is spliced from 3 exons. The record is from RefSeq and is a predicted model, not a curated record. Lineage: Eukaryota; Metazoa; Chordata; Actinopteri; Characiformes; Acestrorhamphidae.
GUUGCUAAGUGGUUGCUAGGCAGUUGCUAACGUAUUCUAGGUGGUUGCUAGGCAGUUGCUAAGUGGUUGCUAGGCAGUUGCUAACGUUUUCCAAGUGGUUGCUAGGCAGUUGCUAAGUGGUUGCUAGGUAGUUGCUAACAUAUUCCAGGUGGUUGCUAGGCAGCUGCUAAGUGGUUGCUAGGCAGUUGCUUACGUUUUCCAGGUGGUUGCUAAGUGGUUGCUAGGCAGUUGCUAACGUUUUCCAGGUGGUUGCUAGGCAGUUGCUAAGUGGUUGCUAGGCAGUUGCUAACGUUUUCCAAGUGGUUGCUAGGCAGUUGCUAAGUGGUUGCUAGGCAGUUGCUAACGUUUUCCAGGUGGUUGCUAAGUGGUUGCUAGGCAGUUGCUAACAUUUUCCAGGUGGUUGCUAGGCAGUUGCUAAGUUGUUGCUAGGCAGUUGCUAACGUUUUCCAGGUGGUUGCUAAGUGGUUGCUAGGCAGUUGCUAACAUAUUCCAGAUGGUUGCUGAGCGGUUGUGAUCAUUUCUAAAGUGGUUGCUAGGCAGUUGCUAAUGUUUACCAGGUGGUUGCUAAGGUGUUGAUAACUGGUUGCUAGGUUGUUGCUAUCAUUUCUAAAAUGGUUGAAGUAGAGAAAAAGAGAGAGUGUUAAAUGUAGAAGUACAGAAAAAGGGAGAGCAAGAAAUAAAGAAGUAGGGAGAAAACCGCGAGAAAAAGAGAAAGAACACGCGAGAAUGUGAGAAAAAGAGUGACAAGUUGAGAGAAAUAUUGAGCGAGAAAAAGAGAAUUAGAGAAAAAGGGACAUCGAGAAAUAAAGAAGUAGAGAAAGGAAGAGGAAGUAGUAGAGAGAUAGAUAGAAAGAGAAAGCAAGACAUAGAAAAGUAGAGUGAAAGAGAAGUAGAGAGAAGAGCGAGAAAUAAAGAAAGAGUAAGAGAGAAUAGAGAAAUAGAAAAGUAGCGAGAAAGAGAAAUUGAGACGUAGAGAGAGAGAGUGAGAGAGAAAGAAAGAGUGAGAAAUAGAGAAGUAGAGAGUAAAAGAGAGAGUGAGAAAUAGAGACGUAGAGAGAGAGUGAGAAAGAGAGUGAGAAAUUCAGAAGUAGAGUGAGAAAGAGAGUGAGAAAUAGAGAAGUAGAGAGCAAAAGAGAGUGAGAAAUAGAGAAGUAGAGAGAGAGAGUGAGAAAGAGAGAGUGAGAAAUAAAGAAAUGUAAAGAGCAAAAGAGAGAGUGAGAAAUAGAGAAGUAGAGAGAAAAAGAUAUAGAGACAUAGAGCGUGAGAAAGAGAUAAGUAGAGAGCAAAAGAGAGUGAGAAAGAGAAGUAGAGAGCAAAAGAGAGAGUGAAAAAUAGAGAAGUAGAGAGAGUGAGAAAGAGAGUGUGAGAAAUAGAGACGUAGAGAGAGUGAGAAAGAAAGAGUGAGAAAUAGAGAAGUAGAGAGCAAAAGAGAGUGAGAAAUAGAGAAGUAGAGAGCAAAAGAGAGAGUGAGAAAUAGAGAAGUAGAGAGAGUGAGAAAGAGAGUGUGAGAAAUAGAGACGUAGAGAGAGAGUGAGAAAGAAAGAGUGAGAAAUAGAGAAGUAGAGAGCAAAAGAGAGUGAGAAAUAGAGAAGUAGAGAGCAAAAGAGAGAGUGAGAAAUAGAGACGUAGAGAGAGUGAGAAAGAGAGAAGUAGAGAGCAAAAGAGAGAGUGAGAAGUAGAGAGCAAAAGAGAGAGCGAGAAGUAGAGAGCAAAAGAGAGAGUGAGAAAUAGAGAAGUAGAAAGCAAAAGAGAGUGUGAGAAGUAGAGAGCAAAAGAGAGAGUGAGAAAUAGAGAAGCAGAGAGCAAAAGAGAGAGUGAGAAGUAGAGAAGUAGAGAGCAAAAGAGAGAGUGAGAAGUAGAUAAGUAGAGAGCAAAAGAGAGAGUGAGAAACAGAGAAGUAGAGAGCAAAAGAGAGAGUGAAAAGUAGAGAGAGAGUGAGAAAGAGAGAGUGAGAGAAGUAGAGAGAGAGUGAGAAAGAGAGAGUGAGAGAAGUAGAGAGAGAGUGAGAAAGAGAGAGUGGUUGCUAAGCAGUUAAUAGGUGGUUGCAAAGCCCUGGCUGGGGUGCCGGGGUGUCCAAACUUUUGACUGAUAGCUGCUCCAUACAGCAGCUCCUCCAUACACUCACAGUACUGGAGGAGCAGGGGAGAGAAGGGGUUCCGUGCGCAGAGCUGCUCGUGUGCGAGAUGGAACUCUGGGCCCCCCAUUCAUUUCUAUGGGAAAACUUCGUACGAAAAUUGUACGAAAACCGUACGUCGUAUCGCUUCGCAACCUGCUAUUAAUUUAAAGAUCUCGGUAAGAUCUAUAAGCUCGCCAAAUUUGGUCUUCGUAUCUCAAAAAUUGUGGCGGUUACGGACGUUUAAAAUUUCGCCCCAUUCAUUCCUAUGGGGAAAAAAUGCGUACGUUUACGAAGUUUUUACGAAAACCGUACGAUAAAUCGCUCCAAAAAGCACAAGCACGCUAAGUUGGCAUAGGUCCUACGAUCCGUGAAAGUUUCGUGAUUCUACGUUGAAAGCUCUAGGAGGAGUAGCGUACAGAAAAAAAGGCGUAA